Molecule: ribosomal RNA, 93 nt
Filed under: Firmicutes bacterium AM59-13
Lineage: Bacteria; Bacillati; Bacillota
Description: partial 23S ribosomal RNA
Rfam family: Bacterial large subunit ribosomal RNA
Source: RNAcentral
ACCCCUUGAAGACUACGAGGUAGAUAGGAAUGAGGUGUAAGCACAGUAAUGUGUUCAGCUGACAUUUACUAAUCGGUCGAGGGCUUGACCAAA